UACGAAGGGUGCAAGCGUUACUCGGAAUUACUGGGCGUAAAGCGUGCGUAGGUGGUUUGUUAAGUCUGUUGUGAAAGCCCCGGGCUCAACCUGGGAAUGGCAAUGGAUACUGGCAAGCUAGAGUGCGGUAGAGGGUAGUGGAAUUCCCGGUGUAGCGGUGAAAUGCGUAGAGAUCGGGAGGAACACCAGUGGCGAAGGCGGCUACCUGGACCGGCCCUGACACUGAGACGCGAAGGCGUGGGGAGCGAACGGG
RNAcentral lists this ribosomal RNA (253 nucleotides) under uncultured bacterium. RNAcentral describes it as "partial 16S ribosomal RNA". It matches the Rfam family "Bacterial small subunit ribosomal RNA", at positions 524 to 776 of the family's 1533-position model. The record is from RNAcentral.